GACGAACGCUGGCGGCAUGCCUAACACAUGCAAGUCGAACGAGACCUUCGGGUUUAGGGGCUAACGGGUUCGUAACGCGUGGGGACAUGCCCUUGUGUUCGGAAUAACUCCCCGAAAGGAGUGCUAAUACCGGAUAAUGUCAUCGGACCAAAGCUUUAUCGCCUUUGGAUGGGCCCGCGUGGGAUUAGCGAGUUGGUAGGGUUAAAGCCUACCAAGGCGACGAUCCGUCGCUGGUCUGAGAGGGUGCUCAGCCACACUGGGACUGAGACACGGCCCAGACUCCUACGGGAGGCAGCAGUGGGGAAUCUUGGACAAUGGGCGAGAGCCUGCACCAGCAAUGCCGCGUGAGUGAUGAAGGCGUUAGGGUUGGCAAGCGCUUUUGCCCGAGAUGAUAAUGACAGUACCGGGUGAAUAAGCUCCGGCUAACUCCGUG
Molecule: ribosomal RNA, 433 nt
Filed under: uncultured bacterium
Lineage: Bacteria
Description: partial 16S ribosomal RNA
Rfam family: Bacterial small subunit ribosomal RNA
Source: RNAcentral